UGCCAAAAUAACUUGUGAGAUGUAUGGUAUUUCAUUGUAAGCAAAGUUAACAGCGAUUACAAGGUUUGUUUAAUUUCUUUAAAGUGUUUUAUGCACCGUCGUACAUAGCCACUAUUUAGCUCAUAAAUAGACCGACUACGAACAAACCAUGUUUAGCCCAAAAUAACCUUGAAUUUAAUAAAAUUUUGUUUUUGCCAAAAUAACUUGCAAGAAUUAUGAUAUUUUAUCAGGCAUGCAAAUACACCAGUGAAAUUAAGAUGUUUGGUUUAAUUUAUCUUAUCUGAAUAUCUGCUGUCACGCAUAACAUUCAUUUUAUUUGACCGUAUUUCAAAGAUAAACAAAAUUCAGUUACAACUCCGAACCGCUAGAUGGCAGCAGUACACAAACACGAGGCCAAAUCUCACGAGAAAGAUUUCCGCUGUUUGAAAGGCAACAACAUCAGCGAGCAGCCACGAAGCAAUCUACCACACUCGUUUGGUCUUGUGUCAAAGCUGUGCGAAACUGGAGGGAGAAACUUGAGAGACCGUGCCGGAAGAAUGCUGGACAGAGUUCACUAAAAUUCAUUAAUUUCAAAGUUCAACAUGAAUGGUGGUGGUCCACUGCAGAAGCAAGCAUUUGAAAAAACAUCAGUUCUCAGUUAUUAAAGAUGCUGUGUUGAACAACUUCCCAUCAGCAACAGAACUGGAAGUGAAGGAUGCAAUGGGGGCAUUUCAAACAGGCACCAGGGAGCACGGUAGUGAUGGGUCGUUCGCGAACGCCGGCUCUAAGAGCUGAUUCUUUGUAGCGAACGAGCAGAGCCGAAUCUUCAGACGCAGGCAGGGGAGCCGGCUCUUCUAAGGGAGCUGAGCCAGAAGAGCCGAAUCUAUGAAAAGAGCCGGGCUGCCAUCACUAAAAUGUAGAGCCGGAGCUUGAUCCGAAAGAGCCGAAUCAAUGGAAAGAGCCGGACUGCCCAUCACUAGAGCACGGGGAGGGGGGGUAUAGAAAUUAGUACAAUUAAUAAGUUGACGUGAACUGAAGAUAGUUUGUUAAUGUUUAGAUGUUAUUUCAUUUUUCAAAUUGUAUUUUGUUAUUUAUGCUUUUAUUUUGUUACUGUUUUUAUUCUUUUUGUUAAGUAGUUUUUCUUCAUUUUGUCUUAUCUGAAUUUCUAUUGUAUUAACAAUAUUUUUUGUAAUAAAUUGCAUGAUUGCAUGUUUAUGAGAACCUUUUUUAAUGGAUUAAAAAGAAUUCUUUAGCCAUUCUUUUGUUCUUUAUUAGACACACACGUAUAGUCGUUUAAUAGCCGUCUAUUUAACGGCUAGUCUAUUCUUGGGCUAUGAUAGACGUCUACUAGAUUUUCACUGACAGCCCAAAAUUAGCCUUGUUUUAGCCUAGACCCACAUUAACCGUCUAUUAGACGUAUAUGUGUAGACGUUUAAUAGCCGUCUAUUUGAUGACUAGUCUAUUUCUUGGGCUAUGAUAGACGUCUACUAGAUUUUCACUGACAGCCCAAAAUUAGCCUUGUUUUAGCCUAGACGUCAGGGGGGUGUUUAGACGGCUACUAGACGU
This is a long non-coding RNA of Paramisgurnus dabryanus, 1545 nucleotides long. RefSeq lists it as uncharacterized. The record is from RefSeq and is a predicted model, not a curated record. NCBI's taxonomy places the organism in Eukaryota, Metazoa, Chordata, Actinopteri, Cypriniformes, Cobitidae.